Molecule: ribosomal RNA, 414 nt
Filed under: uncultured microorganism
Description: bacterial SSU rRNA
Rfam family: Archaeal small subunit ribosomal RNA
Source: RNAcentral
GUGCAGCAGUCGCGAAACCUCCGCAAUGCGGGAAACCGCGACGGGGGGACCCCGAGUGCCGUGGCAACGCCACGGCUUUUCCGGAGUGUAAAAAGCUCCGGGAAUAAGGGCUGGGCAAGGCCGGUGGCAGCCGCCGCGGUAAUACCGGCGGCCCGAGUGGUGGCCGCUAUUAUUGGGCCUAAAGCGUCCGUAGCCGGCCCGUAAGUCCCUGGCGAAAUCCCACGGCUCAACCGUGGGGCUUGCUGGGGAUACUGCGGGUCUUGGGACCGGGAGAGGCGGGGGGUACCCCUGGGGUAGGGGUGGAAAUCCUAUAAUCCCAGGGGGACCGCCAGUGGCGAAGGCGCCCCGCUGGAACGGGUCCGACGGUGAGGGACGAAGGCCAGGGGAGCAAACCGGAUUAGAUACCCGCGUAGU